This 253-nucleotide ribosomal RNA is filed under the name uncultured bacterium. Its description in RNAcentral is "partial 16S ribosomal RNA". It matches the Rfam family "Bacterial small subunit ribosomal RNA", at positions 524 to 776 of the family's 1533-position model. The record is from RNAcentral.
UACGUAGGGCGCAAGCGUUUGUCCGGAAUUAUUGGGCGUAAAGAGUUCGUAGGCGGUUUGUCGCGUCGUUCGUGAAAACUUGGGGCUUAACUCCAAGCGUGCGGGCGAUACGGGCAGACUUGAGUACUACAGGGGAGACUGGAAUUCCUGGUGUAGCGGUGAAAUGCGCAGAUAUCAGGAGGAACACCGGUGGCGAAGGCGGGUCUCUGGGCCUAACUGACGCUGAGGAGCGAAAGCAUGGGGAGCGAACAGG